UGAGGAACAUGACUUUCGGUGGGGGAGUAGCCGGCCCAACGGCCGGGUAAUACCGCGUACGACCGCCUGGGGACAUCCCCGAGCGGUGAAAGCAGCAAUGCGCCGAUAGAGUGCCUCGCGGCCUAUCAGCUAGUUGGUGGGGUAAUGGCUCACCAAGGCGACGACGGGUAGCUGGU
Molecule: ribosomal RNA, 176 nt
Filed under: uncultured bacterium
Lineage: Bacteria
Description: partial 16S ribosomal RNA
Rfam family: Bacterial small subunit ribosomal RNA
Source: RNAcentral